RNAcentral lists this ribosomal RNA (255 nucleotides) under uncultured bacterium. RNAcentral describes it as "partial 16S ribosomal RNA". It matches the Rfam family "Bacterial small subunit ribosomal RNA", at positions 99 to 354 of the family's 1533-position model. The record is from RNAcentral.
CGGACGGGUGAGUAACGCGUGAGCAACCUGCCCUUCGGAGGGGGAUAGUGUCUGGAAACGGACAGUAAUACCGCAUAACGUAUUGAUACCGCAUGAUAUUGAUACCAAAACUGAGGUGCCGAAGGAUGGGCUCGCGUUGGAUUAGAUAGUUGGUGGGGUAACGGCCUACCAAGUCGACGAUCCAUAGCCGGACUGAGAGGUUGAACGGCCGCAUUGGGACUGAGACACGGCCCAGACUCCUACGGAAGGCAGCAG